UCUGACCCCACCUGCAUGUAAGCAACCUCCAACCUGCCAGCAAUUUGCAACCGUAAGCAGCCAAUCCAUGCCAGCAUAUCCUUACCCCACCCCUAUACUUCUUGCACCCCCUCCAUCAGCCUCGCGCCAGAUGCGGUUCCAGAUUCUCCCCGUAAGCCUGCGGAAUCCACCGUGUUCUACCCAGGGAACUAGAACCAUCCGAUAAUGACAGAGUCCUCCAUGAGAUUCCACAAAGGAGAGCAAUGUGUGAGUCCCACUGCUUUCCAGAUUCUCCAAGAUAAACCUAGGGAUAGGGGCUCCAAGGGA
RNAcentral lists this long non-coding RNA (306 nucleotides) under Dasypus novemcinctus (nine-banded armadillo). Its description in RNAcentral is "lncRNA (ENSDNOG00000051897.1)". Lineage: Eukaryota; Metazoa; Chordata; Mammalia; Cingulata; Dasypodidae. The record is from RNAcentral.